Molecule: transfer RNA, 58 nt
Filed under: Thelazia callipaeda (thelaziosis nematode)
Lineage: Eukaryota; Metazoa; Nematoda; Chromadorea; Rhabditida; Thelaziidae
Description: tRNA-Thr
Source: RNAcentral
CGAUUUAGUUUAUUUUAAAAUUUUUAAUUUGUAAUUAAAAGAUAGUUUUGGCUUGAUU